CGUAAGGGCGUGGGGCGAGUUGUUCGGGGUUAGUAUGUGCGUACUUUCAUUGUGAUAGGAGAAUAAUUUUUCAGGGUGUGGGCUGUGGACCUUUCCCGUAGUGAGGGACGAGGAAUAUACGGUCAUUGCUGUGUCGAAGGCUUCAGUCUAAGAGGGGACCUUGUUCUGCGUGAACAGAACGAUGGAAGACGGCGCCUACGAGGCCCAGAUGGAGGCGGGUGCCGAUUGGGGCGGCUUUAGUGGGCCUACCGGCGCGCCGUACGGCCCUGUCCCCGGGUUCCCGCCGUGGCAGAGUUUCGGCGGCGCCUGGUCCGGC
Long non-coding RNA from Pollicipes pollicipes, 316 nucleotides. RefSeq lists it as uncharacterized. The record is from RefSeq and is a predicted model, not a curated record. The transcript is spliced from 3 exons. Lineage: Eukaryota; Metazoa; Arthropoda; Thecostraca; Pollicipedomorpha; Pollicipedidae.